CUACGGGGCGCAGCAGUGGGGAAUAUUGCACAAUGGGGGAAACCCUGAUGCAGCAACGCCGCGUGGAGGAUGACGCAUUUCGGUGUGUAAACUCCUUUUAUAUGUCAAGAAAAUGACGGUAGCAUAUGAAUAAGCACCGGCUAACUCCGUGCCAGCAGCCGCGGUAAUACGGAGGGUGCAAGCGUUACUCGGAAUCACUGGGCGUAAAGGACGCGUAGGCGGGUUGGAAAGUCAGGUGUGAAAUCCUACAGCUUAACUGUAGAACUGCACUUGAAACUUCUAAUCUAGAGUAUGGGAGGGGGAGAUGGAAUUAGUGGUGUAGGGGUAAAAUCCGUAGAUAUCACUAGGAAUACCUAAAGCGAAGGCGAUCUCCUGGAACAUUACUGACGCUAAGGCGUGAAAGCGUGGGGAGCAAACAGGAUUAGAUACCCCUGUAGUC
Molecule: ribosomal RNA, 439 nt
Filed under: uncultured bacterium
Lineage: Bacteria
Description: partial 16S ribosomal RNA
Rfam family: Bacterial small subunit ribosomal RNA
Source: RNAcentral